This 694-nucleotide ribosomal RNA is filed under the name Escherichia coli. RNAcentral describes it as "partial 23S ribosomal RNA". It matches the Rfam family "Bacterial large subunit ribosomal RNA", at positions 495 to 1191 of the family's 2925-position model. Lineage: Bacteria; Pseudomonadati; Pseudomonadota; Gammaproteobacteria; Enterobacterales; Enterobacteriaceae. The record is from RNAcentral.
CCAGUACCGUGAGGGAAAGGCGAAAAGAACCCCGGCGAGGGGAGUGAAAAAGAACCUGAAACCGUGUACGUACAAGCAGUGGGAGCCUCUUAAUGGGGUGACUGCGUACCUUUUGUAUAAUGGGUCAGCGACUUAUAUUCUGUAGCAAGGUUAACCGAAUAGGGGAGCCGAAGGGAAACCGAGUCUUAACUGGGCGUUAAGUUGCAGGGUAUAGACCCGAAACCCGGUGAUCUAGCCAUGGGCAGGUUGAAGGUUGGGUAACACUAACUGGAGGACCGAACCGACUAAUGUUGAAAAAUUAGCGGAUGACUUGUGGCUGGGGGUGAAAGGCCAAUCAAACCGGGAGAUAGCUGGUUCUCCCCGAAAGCUAUUUAGGUAGCGCCUCGUGAAUUCAUCUCCGGGGGUAGAGCACUGUUUCGGCAAGGGGGUCAUCCCGACUUACCAACCCGAUGCAAACUGCGAAUACCGGAGAAUGUUAUCACGGGAGACACACGGCGGGUGCUAACGUCCGUCGUGAAGAGGGAAACAACCCAGACCGCCAGCUAAGGUCCCAAAGUCAUGGUUAAGUGGGAAACGAUGUGGGAAGGCCCAGACAGCCAGGAUGUUGGCUUAGAAGCAGCCAUCAUUUAAAGAAAGCGUAAUAGCUCACUGGUCGAGUCGGCCUGCGCGGAAGAUGUAACGGGGCUAAACCAUG